This is an RNA transcript of Conger conger (European conger), 2820 nucleotides long. It is a transcript of the gene named kynureninase, with no coding region annotated. The record is from RefSeq and is a predicted model, not a curated record. NCBI's taxonomy places the organism in Eukaryota, Metazoa, Chordata, Actinopteri, Anguilliformes, Congridae. The transcript has 13 exons.
GUUAGAGUCCGUCAAAAGAGUUGCCGGAUAUACUGUCAGAGGAAAGCGAGAACGGUUUAGUGUACAUUUGCUCCCUUCCCAAUUGAAAAGGAAAAGAAAGCGAUAGUUGUAAUAAAACCCUGACCUUUCAGCCGUGACCACUAUGGACUCUUCCCCUUCUGAUUCUACGCACAAGGUUCUGGAGAGGGUGUCCGCAGAGCUGGGUAGCACUCCAACUUCACAUGAUGUGGCCGUGUACCUGGACAAACAGGACCCAUUGCAACAUCUGCGCAAACAGUUUCUGGUCCCCAGAGUUGGUGACCUGUCCCCCUCUGACCUCUCACUGGUGGAUGGCACCAAGGACUGCAUUUACUUUGUGGGAAACUCACUCGGACUGCAGCCAAAAUCUGCCAGAAAGUAUAUCGACGAGGAGCUAGACAAAUGGGCCAAAACGGGGAUCCAUGGACACAUGGAAGGGGGACGACCUUGGGCCUAUGCAGAGAAUACACUUGAGGACCUUAUGGCAAAUGUAGUCGGCGCCAAGCCCGGAGAGGUUGCCUUGAUGAACGGAUUAACGGUUAAUUUGCAUCUGCUGCUGCUGUCCUUCUACAGACCGACAGCUGAACGUCACAAAAUCCUGAUCGAGGACAAGGCCUUUCCCUCCGACCAUUACGCCGUGGAGUCCCAGAUCCGGCUGCGCGGGUUCGACCCCCAGCAGAGCUUGCUGCUGAUGAAAUCCAGAGAGGGGGAGGACACUCUGAGGACGGAGGAUAUCCUGGCCACGAUCGAGAGGGAGGGAGACUCCAUCGCCGUGGUCCUGUUCAGCGGGGUUCAGUACUACACAGGCCAGCUUUUCAACAUGGCCGCUAUCAGCAGGGCUGGCCAGAGCAAGGGCUGCUACGUGGGGUUCGACUGCGCGCACGCGGUGGGAAACGCAGAGCUCCGACUGCACGACUGGGGGGUGGACUUUGCCUGCUGGUGCUCUUAUAAGUAUUUAAAUUCCGGAGCGGGGGGUUUGGCUGGGGCCUUUAUCCACGAGAAACAUGCCCACACAGUCAAAUCGACGUUGUGGGGCUGGUGGGGGCACGACUUGAAGACGCGAUUCGCUAUGAAUAACGAUCAAUUUGUCUCCCCACUGCCAGCAUCCCUAACUGGCUCAUGAAAGAUUUGGAGAACACCUUGAGAUUGUGGGGGUGGAAGUUCAGGUUGAGAUUGAGACUCCGACAGGAAGGGGCGAACGGCUUAAAUUGAACGGCAAAAGUGUGUGAAUGCAAGAAAUUAAUUUGUGAGCAGAAUUCCCCUUGCUCGCUUAUGGAUUUGUUCUUCCCUCUCUCAAAGCCUGGUCCGCCACACUCCGAUUCGACACGCUUGCACUCAGUCGCACCAUUUGCUUAGGGAUUUUUUCUGCACACACUCAAAACUGCAUCCUCUCCCUUGCGGAUUUAUUUAUUUUUCUCAUCUGCAUCGCUGCCAGAGUCCAGUCAAUAAGAAUUUGCUGGAAAUGUUCUUGCCCAAAUCUAGGCGAGGCUGUCACCAAACUGUGUGUUUAGUUUGUGGCUUUGGAGAAGCAGAGUGGACAGCAAUUCAAUUAGUAUCUGAAAAGCAGCAACAAAACAGGUCCCUUUAUAUAUACUGAAGAUUUUUAUGUGUGUGUGUGUGCGUGUGUGAUUGUAUGUGUUUGUGUAUUUGUGAUCUCCUCCAGAUGUUGUAUAAAUGUGAGGCCCUUGCAGUAGCUGGGCAGCUCUGAUGCUCGUGUACAGAGAUGAGCAGCAUUUCAAAUGCAUGUAUUUGUAUAUGAAUGUAUGCAGCUCAGAAUAUGUAUUCCCAUGUAUUACAUUUACAUUUACAUUUUAGUCAUUUGGCAGACGCUUUUAAUCCAAAGCGACUUACAAGUGCAUAGGUUCUACCAUAAGUCAGAGCAUCACAUCCAGAAACUAGCAAAAUACACAGGAAAUGCUGUUCUAAACAUAGUGGUCAUCAGAAGUGAAUUUUUUUUUUUUUUUUAUUUAUUUUUUUUGGGGUGGGGGGUUAGACAAGGAUAGGGAUAUCAGAAAGGAGGGGCAGGGGAAAUCAGGAGGGAGGACUAAGGUAGAGUUUGAAAAGGUGGGUUUUGAGUCUGCGUCGAAAUAGGGGGAGGGAUUCUGCUGUUCUGACAGUGGUAGGCAAGUCAUGUAUUUACUUCAUAUGUUAUAGUGGUUGAUCAUGUCUUUUUAUGUAUGGUUCAUACAACUGUCUCUCCUUCAAGACAAUAUAUGGCUCCGCCAUUUUAAUUGUAUCAGAUUAUUAUAAAAUGGCUUCCAAAAAUGCAGUUUUUUUAUAUAUAUAAUCCCUGUCCAUAAAUUACACAUAUUUAAAAAUGUCUACGGGUUCUUUGGACACCGAUUAAUGUCCCCAACCUUAUGGUUUUCAUAUUUGUUUUAGCCCCUAUUCUGAUGGCAGAUCAUUAAAAUGGCAUUUACGGUCACUGUCAAUUAAAUCUCCCUCAGAAUUAUAACCACCAGACUACUCAAUUUAAUUUGGAGCUGUGCCUGCUCUCCAUCUUUUUUUAAAGAAGUCUUUUGCACUCGACUCACUCAUACUGCCAUCUCAUGACGAGCCUUUGAACUGCAAGAAACGGAACAAAUUGCUUUUUUGUUCGUAGUUCACUCAGUCGGUUUGGUGUUAAUAUGAGGAGAGGAGAACCAAAAGUCUCGUUCUUCCACAGUAAUGGAUCUGCUCCCAGGGGUAGGUGGAUACAGGAUCUCAAACCAGCCAAUUCUUCUGGUGUGCACCCUGCAGGCAAGCUUAGACACUGUGGUCAUUCCAGGCACACAGAGCAUUAUCCAAAUGUCGCUGUGACCA